GACGAACGCUGGCGGCGUGCUUAACACAUGCAAGUCGAACGGAAAGGCCCUGCUUUUGUGGGGUGCUCGAGUGGCGAACGGGUGAGUAACACGUGAGUAACCUGCCCUUGACUUUGGGAUAACUUCAGGAAACUGGGGCUAAUACCGGAUAGGAGCUCCUGCUGCAUGGUGGGGGUUGGAAAGUUUCGGCGGUUGGGGAUGGACUCGCGGCUUAUCAGCUUGUUGGUGGGGGAGUGGCUUACCAAGGCUUUGACGGGUAGCCGGCCUGAGAGGGUGACCGGCCACAUUGGGACUGAGAUACGGCCCAGACUCCUACGGGAGGCAGCAGUGGGGAAUAUUGCACAAUGGGCGGAAGCCUGAUGCAGCAACGCCGCGUGCGGGAUGACGGCCUUCGGGUUGUAAACCGCUUUCGCCUGUGACGAAGCGUGAGUGACGGUAAUGAGUAAAGAAGCACCGGCUAACUACGUG
This 468-nucleotide ribosomal RNA is filed under the name uncultured bacterium. RNAcentral describes it as "partial 16S ribosomal RNA". It matches the Rfam family "Bacterial small subunit ribosomal RNA", at positions 28 to 507 of the family's 1533-position model. The record is from RNAcentral.